Molecule: ribosomal RNA, 440 nt
Filed under: uncultured bacterium
Lineage: Bacteria
Description: bacterial SSU rRNA
Rfam family: Bacterial small subunit ribosomal RNA
Source: RNAcentral
UGCCAGACUCCUACGGGAGGCAGCAGUGGGGGAUAUUGCACAAUGGGGGGAACCCUGAUGCAGCGACGCCGCGUGGGUGAAGGAGUGCUUCGGCAUGUAAAGCCCUAUCGGCAGGGAAGAAGCAAGACGGUACCUGACUAAGAAGCCCCGGCUCACUACGUGCCCGCAGCCGCGGUAAUACGUAGGGGGCGAGCGUUAUCCGGAUUCACUGGGUGUAAAGGGAGCGUAGACGGCCAUGCAAGCCAGGGGGGAAAGCCCGGGGCCCAACUGCGGGACUGCUUUGGAAACUGCCCGGCUAGAGUGCUGGAGAGGUAAGCGGAAUUCCUAGUGUAGCGGUGAAAUGCGUAGAUAUUAGGAGGAACACCAGUGGCGAAGGCGGCUUACUGGACAGUAACUGACGUUGAGGCUCGAAAGCGUGGGGAGCAAACAGGAUUAGAUAC